CUCUACCGGCGGGAUUUGAUGGCGUGAUGUCUCACAGAAAGUUCUCCGCUCCCAGACAUGGGUCCCUCGGCUUCCUGCCUCGGAAGCGCAGCAGCAGGCAUCGUGGGAAGGUGAAGAGCUUCCCUAAGGAUGACCCGUCCAAGCCGGUCCACCUCACAGCCUUCCUGGGAUACAAGGCUGGCAUGACUCACAUCGUGCGGGAAGUCGACAGGCCGGGAUCCAGUAUGUACAGACAUCCUAAAAGUUGGGGGAAUAGGAGUGGAGGGGGAGGGAAAUUGUAGAGAUGGAGUCAAGCUGUUAGCAGAGGGCAGACUUUUUUUUUUAAGCAGGAGUUACACGUUGUCAGAACUGCUGCGACAGCAGAAUGGGAAUGCUUAACUUGAAAACUAAUAUUCCAAGGCUACAGAUGGUCAGCACUGUUUGCUUUAGGUGCGGUGUGGGGUAUUGAUUUCAGAGCAUAGUAAAUUUGCCAGGAACCUUAGCAAAGAGAAGUUAACACUAGUGUGGGGGGUUGGAGCUGCUGAGGCUGGCAUAAGAACUGCCUCAUUCAUGUUUUUUUCACCUGAAAGCUUGAAUAAUGGCCACUUACCUGUGUGUGUUCUACUUAGAGAUGUCUAACAGCACUGGUUGCUGAGCCAUGGAGACAUUAAUGUUAGGCAGUUGAUACUGACUAAUCUCUGAGCUCAGAGCUAUUGUUAGGGCACUGAAUUUUCCAGAUAAAUAGCAAUCUUGUCUGCCUCCAGAGGUUUCUGUAGAAGAGAAUUGAA
This 767-nucleotide long non-coding RNA is filed under the name Homo sapiens (human). RNAcentral describes it as "non-protein coding lnc-PDGFB-2:3". The record is from RNAcentral. Lineage: Eukaryota; Metazoa; Chordata; Mammalia; Primates; Hominidae.